This 547-nucleotide ribosomal RNA is filed under the name uncultured bacterium. Its description in RNAcentral is "bacterial SSU rRNA". It matches the Rfam family "Bacterial small subunit ribosomal RNA", at positions 355 to 896 of the family's 1533-position model. The record is from RNAcentral.
UGGGGAAUAUUGCGCAAUGGGGGGAACCCUGACGCAGCCAUGCCGCGUGAAUGAAGAAGGCCUUAGGGUUGUAAAGUUCUUUCGGUAUUGAGGAAGGUUGAUGUGUUAAUAGCACAUCAAAUUGACGUUAAAUACAGAAAAAGCACCGGCUAACUCCGUGCCAGCAGCCGCGGUAAUACGGAGGGUGCGAGCGUUAAUCGGAAUAACUGGGCGUAAAGGGCACGCAGGCGGUUAUUUAAGUGAGGUGUGAAAGCCCCGGGCUUAACCUGGGAAUUGCAUUUCAGACUGGGUAACUAGAGUACUUUAGGGAGGGGUAGAAUUCCACGUGUAGCGGUGAAAUGCGUAGAGAUGUGGAGGAAUACCGAAGGCGAAGGCAGCCCCUUGGGAAUGUACUGACGCUCAUGUGCGAAAGCGUGGGGAGCAAACAGGAUUAGAUACCCUGGUAGUCCACGCUGUAAACGCUGUCGAUUUGGGGGUUGGGGUUUAACUCUGGCGCCCGUAGCUAACGUGAUAAAUCGACCGCCUGGGGAGUACGGCCGCAAGGUUA